RNAcentral lists this microRNA precursor (252 nucleotides) under Gossypium raimondii (Peruvian cotton). RNAcentral describes it as "miR8654c stem-loop (gra-MIR8654c)". The record is from miRBase by way of RNAcentral. Lineage: Eukaryota; Viridiplantae; Streptophyta; Magnoliopsida; Malvales; Malvaceae.
AACUUAUUCUUUUUCUUCAUCAAAGUAGUAUUCUUAACCUCAUUAUCCAAAAUUUGUGUCAGAGAUGGGGGCAAGAAGACUUUCACAACAACGAGUUCUUUAAUCACAACAACCUCUGCCGCCCCGAGUCGAUUUUUAGCUUUCCUCUAUCGUAUUUGUCACUACCUCUAAAAGUUUUCUUGCCCCCACAUUUGACACAUAUUUUGAAUAAUGAGGUUAAGGAUACUACUUUGAUGGAGAAAAAGAAUAAGU